GAUGAAGAACGUAGCGAAAUGCGAUAAGUAAUGUGAAUUGCAGAAUUCAGUGAAUCAUCGAAUCUUUGAACGCACAUUGCGCCCGGCAGCAAUCUGCCGGGCAUGCCUGUCCGAGCGUCAUUUCUUCCCUCGAGCGCGGCUAGCCCUACGGGGCCUGCCGUCGCCCGGUGUUGGGGCUCUACGGGUGGGGCUCGUCCCCCCCCGCAGUCCCCGAAAUGUAGUGGCGGUCCAGCCGCGGCGCCCCCUGCGUAGUAGAUCCUACAUCUCGCAUCGGGUCCCGGCGAAGGCCAGCCGUCGAACCUUUUAUUUCAUGGUUUGACCUCGGAUCAGGUAGGGUUACCCGCUGAACUUAAGCAUAUCAAUAAGCGGAGA
This 372-nucleotide unclassified non-coding RNA is filed under the name soil metagenome. Its description in RNAcentral is "partial contains 5.8S ribosomal RNA, internal transcribed spacer 2, and large subunit ribosomal RNA". The stretch from base 1 to 120 matches the Rfam family "5.8S ribosomal RNA", at positions 35 to 154 of the family's 154-position model. The record is from RNAcentral.